RNA transcript from Galeopterus variegatus (Sunda flying lemur), 733 nucleotides. RefSeq lists it as uncharacterized. The record is from RefSeq and is a predicted model, not a curated record. Lineage: Eukaryota; Metazoa; Chordata; Mammalia; Dermoptera; Cynocephalidae. The transcript has a single exon.
GGGCCGUGGGAGCAUGUCACUGUGUACAGUGGGCCAAACACAGGAAGGAACAAUAUCUGGUAUACAGCCACCAGAAGGACUGAAAAUAAUGUCUACCGUCUGUAACUUCAAUGUCUGCUGUGAGACCACGUGUGGGCUUCUUUUAGGUCCCAAUGAUAGAAUCAGAGACUCUAAAGCACACAUGAAAAAGGAGAUGGAGGUGUGGUUGCCGUGGCUUUUUGGGAGGUGGGGCAUAGAGGAAAGAAGCCACCAUAUGGAUCAUUUCCUGUUCUUCACAACCUGCGUCUUGGGAGUCCAGCCAUGCACUGUCCCAGAGGCCUCAGGAGGGGAACCAUUCCCAGUGCGCUUUGAAGGCCUGCAGGGAACUUCUUCCUACUAAAAGCACCUGAGAGCAGAGCACCCCAGAUGGACUUCCUAUACCUCCUGUUCUGGUUAUGACCUGGCCUUCAGUGGCACCACCUGCUGGUGCUAAUAGGGGCAGCCCACAGGCCGCUGAGGACAGGUUGCACCCCGCCUACCUCCCUAAUGACAAAUUCCUUGGUAUUUCAAAAGAAGGGAGAAACCACUAUAAAACAUAGAAGGAAGGGGCAGGUACCAGGUAUUUUAUUUUCAGAAUUUAAAUAAAUCCAUUCAGUUAGGACACAUCAGUCUUACCAAGACUGAAUGGGGCUAUGCACAGCCAAGCACAGCUGGGAAAUAGAGAUCCUGGUAUUAUUGGAAGGAAUCCCUUCAC